Long non-coding RNA from Cydia fagiglandana, 202 nucleotides. RefSeq lists it as uncharacterized. The transcript has 4 exons. NCBI's taxonomy places the organism in Eukaryota, Metazoa, Arthropoda, Insecta, Lepidoptera, Tortricidae. The record is from RefSeq and is a predicted model, not a curated record.
CAGUGUAUUGGCAAUUCUUGUAGAGCCAGGUGCAGCGGGAUAAAUUGUACUGUUAAGUGUACAGGAGUGUUUUGUGACGAGGAGAAAUUUGGGCAUGUGCCACCAGACGGAUCCAGCUUCAGAGUGAAACUGGCACAUUUAUGGAAUCUAUUAAAAAGAUAUUUGAAAUAAUGACCAGUUUUAUUAAUUAUUAAAAUUGGAU